Molecule: unclassified non-coding RNA, 215 nt
Filed under: soil metagenome
Description: partial contains small subunit ribosomal RNA, internal transcribed spacer 1, and 5.8S ribosomal RNA
Source: RNAcentral
UAACCGUAAGUGAACCUGCGGAAGGAUCAUUAACAUAUUCCAUUCCACGCGUCUUGAGGAGACGUUAACCGACCCUUCACUGGGUUGGGACACGGCUUCUCGUUAAGGACAAAACUUUUUACCUUUGACAAACAACCAUCAGUUCUCUUAUUGAGAGUUCUGUUUUCAUAAUAACAUAUGAAAAACAACUUUUAACAAUGGAUCUCUUGGCUCUU